GACGAACGCUGGCGGCGUGCCUCAUACAUGCAAGUCGAGCGGAUGCAGGAAUGCAUUAGCGGCGGACGGGUGAGUAACACGUGGGCAACCUGGCCUUAAGAGGGGGAUAACGUUCCGAAAGGGACGCUAAUACCGCGUAAAUCAGCGAAAUCGCAUGAUUUUGUUGGAAAAGGAGAAAUCCGCUUAAGGAUGGGCCCGCGGCCUAUUAGCUAGUUGGUAGGGUAACGGCCUACCAAGGCGACGAUAGGUAGCCGACCUGAGAGGGUGAACGGCCACACUGGAACUGGAACACGGGCCAGACUCCUACGGGAGGCAGCAGUGAGGAAUUUUGCGCAAUGGCCGCAAGGCUGACGCAGCAACGCCGCGUGGGUGAUGAAGGCC
Molecule: ribosomal RNA, 381 nt
Filed under: uncultured bacterium
Lineage: Bacteria
Description: bacterial SSU rRNA
Rfam family: Bacterial small subunit ribosomal RNA
Source: RNAcentral